GAGCCCUGACCCCAGACAAAUGAGUCAUGUCGACACUUUCCAAGAUGAAUGGCCACAUCCCCAGCCAUCAGGCAAACUUAGUCCUUGCAAAGUUCACAGGCUUCGUUUCCAAAUGGAGCACGAUGUGCCUGACAGAUCAAAGGGCCCUGCUCAGCCCAGGAACAGGCAGCUGCCUGUGCUGGGAAAGUCCGGUGUCUAACAGGUCACAGGUCACACCGUUCACAGCAGCGUUUUUCACGACGGCCAGAGGGUGGACGAAUGUGUUACAUGACCCCUGCCCCGAAUGUGAUAUGUACGCACAAUGGGACGUCAGUGGUCCCAGAAAUGGAAGGCACCUCGGACCCAGGGGCCACACAGCCACCCUGAGGACCUGAUGCUGAGGGAACGAGCCCCUCUCAGAAGCUCAAAUACCGUUUGAUCCCACGUGUGAGGUCUCCAGAGUCGUCAAACCUACAGAGACAGACAGUACGAUGGUGGUGCCCAGGGCAGGUGGGGGUUGGUGUUUGAUGGGGCCGGUUGACAUUUGGGAAGAUGUAAAGCUCUGCAGGUGGAUGGCAGUGAUGGCUGCACGGCAACGUGAAUGUGCUUCAUGCCACUGACCUGUGCACUUAAAAAUCAUUAAGACGGCCCGGGCAUGGGGUGGCUCACGCCUGUAAUCCCAGCACUUUGGGAGGCCAAGGUGGGCGAUUACCUGAGGUCGGGAGUUCAAAACCAGCCUGACCAACAUGGUGAAACCCUGUCUCUACUAAAAAUACAAAAUUAGCUGGGUGUGGUGGUGCAUCCCGGUAGUCCCAGCUACUUAGGAGGCUGAGGCAGGAGAAUCGCUUGAACCCUGGAGGCAAAGGUUGCAGUGAGCCGAGAUCACACCACUACAUUCCAGCCUGGGCAACAGAGUGAGACUCCAUCUCAAAAAAAAAUUGUUAAAAUGGUCAACUUUAUGUUAAAGGUAUUUUACCACAAUAAAAGCAAAGGUCACAGGCAGACCUCAUGAGUGCCCUGGAGGUGCUGUUGCCCCUGGGAUGGAAGCUCAUUAUUUUCAAAUGUUCUAUAUAUGGGGGUCUCUAUUCCGGGACAUUUGCUUAAAAAUCUCUUGGAUCAGACCCUUCUUCAGUUUUUCCUGCAAUUAUCAAUAUCUAGUUUGUUUCUAUAGUAGUUCAAUCAGCUAAGUAAAAAGCUCGAUGCUAAAUCUUGUCAAAGACAUUGCAAAUCUCCAUAGAUCGUCUGCGAAACCACAGCUUUCAUGUUUUGAGCGUAAGACCCUGGGGCUGGUGCUGUAACCCCUGCCCAGACUCUUCUGAGUUUCGGCGGCCCAGCAGGGCAGGGCCGGGCACCUGGCAGGUGGGGUCAUCCCCACAGGGCACCCCGGCCGAGGGCAGAGCUGGUUCCGCCGCAGGGUCGAUCCUGGGCUCUGGGCUGUGCACACGUCCUAUUGACACCCCGAGGACAGGACGUGCGAGUGACUCGUGAGAUUGGGCCUCCCUUGCUGAAAACUUCCCUGGUGGCUGACAGCUGCGUGGACAUUCAGCGGCCCUACCUUUUUCCGUCAGGCGCCAGCAGCCCCUCUGUGUAGAGGUGAGACAGGCCAAGCUGCAGCUUCUAGACGAGACGCCCGAAAGCAGAGAAGUACCCAGAGCAGGGACCCGGCAGCCCGGCAGUACGCUGGGCACAGUCGCAGCCCCGCCUCUUCCUUCUCCGUCUUGUUCCCUCCUUCGGUCCCAGGAGAAAGACGCUCAUCUCCCCACAUGAGAGGCUCAGUGUAGGCGUCUGGACAGGGGCCAGUCCCACAAGGCUACUGACUCCGGACCACAAAGAAGCUGGAAGCAGCAGCUCCGCCUCUGCAGCCAAUUGCAGAGCUUUUUUCUCUGUGUUCUGCCCCCACUUCCAACUCAGGACCAACCAGAGGACGCCAAACACGUCCUAUCACCAACCACCGGACACCUGAC
This 1943-nucleotide long non-coding RNA is filed under the name Homo sapiens (human). RNAcentral describes it as "HSALNT0197830". The record is from RNAcentral. Lineage: Eukaryota; Metazoa; Chordata; Mammalia; Primates; Hominidae.